This is a long non-coding RNA of Ictalurus punctatus (channel catfish), 566 nucleotides long. Lineage: Eukaryota; Metazoa; Chordata; Actinopteri; Siluriformes; Ictaluridae. The record is from Ensembl.
AUCAUUUAUCUUUGGGUGAUUAUUGAUCGAGUCCAGGCCGCAUUUUUCACUACAUUGACUACUGAAUUGGUGGUUUUAUUGAGCUUGGAAUAAAAGCAGCUUUGAAGAGACGAGCACUGAUAUCGAGUCUCAAAGAGCAUCUGGAAUAUGGUUGGUGUUGCUCUGUAGCUACGUACCUUGAAGGUUCAUUCAUCUUCGGGAACGGCUUCAUGGUGGUCAGGGUGGCAGUGGAGCCGGAGCCUUUCCCAGUAACUCUGGGCUCGAGGCAGGAGAAUUCACCCCAGACGGGAUGUCAGUUCAUCACAGAACAACAUUGGGAGGAAACUGGUCGACCCGGCGGAAACCCACUCAAACACAGGGAGAAUGUACGAAACCCCACACAGACCCCAAGACCAUGGGGCGUUGAGGUGGCAACGUUACCCGCCUCCUAUCCAUGUACAGCUAUAGAUAAAAAGCACAAUUCACAAGAAAGUAACCGUGUCUAAUCUGCGACUCGACCUCGCAAUACUGCAACCAACAGUGUUUUAUUGCACUGCAGAAUACCUACCUCACAUUCGUACUCGGAA